RNAcentral lists this ribosomal RNA (431 nucleotides) under Zaprionus indianus. RNAcentral describes it as "partial 12S ribosomal RNA". Lineage: Eukaryota; Metazoa; Arthropoda; Insecta; Diptera; Drosophilidae. The record is from RNAcentral.
AGUUUGAAAUGGAUUAGAACCCUAUAUUAAAAGUAUUUAUUCACUAAAGUAGUAAUAGUUAUGUUCUUGAACUUAAAAAAUUUGGCGGUAUUUUAGUCUAUCCAGAGGAACCUGUUUUGUAAUCGAUAAUCCACGAUGGACCUUACUUAAAUUUGUAAUCAGUUUAUAUACCGUCGUUAUCAGAAUAUUUUAUAAGAAUAAUAAUAUUCAAUAAUUUUUAUUAAAAUUUAUAUCAGAUCAAGGUGUAGCUUAUAUUUAAGUAAUAAUGGGUUACAAUAAAUAUAUUUAAACGAAUAAAACUAUGAAAAAGUUUUUUGAAGGUGGAUUUGGUAGUAAAAUUAUAAAGAUUAAUAAUUUGAUUUUAGCUCUAAAAUAUGUACACAUCGCCCGUCGCUCUUAUUAUUAAGGUAAGAUAAGUCGUAACAUAGUAA